RNAcentral lists this ribosomal RNA (138 nucleotides) under uncultured eukaryote. RNAcentral's name for it is "partial 18S ribosomal RNA". It matches the Rfam family "Eukaryotic small subunit ribosomal RNA", at positions 1299 to 1458 of the family's 1831-position model. The record is from RNAcentral.
UGGUGGAGUGAUUUGUCUGGUUAAUUCCGAUAACGAACGAGACCUUCACGUGCUAAAUAGCCGGACGGGCUGCGGCCCGUCCCGGGCUUCUUAGACGGACUAUCGGUAUCUAGCCGAUGGAAGUUGGAGGCAAUAACA